UACGAAGGGUGCAAGCGUCACUCGGAAUUACUGGGCGUAAAGGGUGCGUAGGUGGUUUUUUAAGUCCGUUGUGAAAUCCCUGGGCUCAACCUGGGAAUGGCAGUGGAUACUGGAAGGCUAGAGUGCGGUAGAGGGUAGUGGAAUUCCCGGUGUAGCAGUGAAAUGCGUAGAGAUCGGGAGGAACACCAGUGGCGAAGGCGGCUACCUGGACCAGCACUGACACUGAGGCACGAAAGCGUGGGGAGCAAACAGG
Molecule: ribosomal RNA, 253 nt
Filed under: uncultured bacterium
Lineage: Bacteria
Description: partial 16S ribosomal RNA
Rfam family: Bacterial small subunit ribosomal RNA
Source: RNAcentral